Molecule: ribosomal RNA, 897 nt
Filed under: Triticum aestivum (bread wheat)
Lineage: Eukaryota; Viridiplantae; Streptophyta; Magnoliopsida; Poales; Poaceae
Description: partial small subunit ribosomal RNA
Source: RNAcentral
AACGCAGGGAACGUGAAGAGGAACGAUGAGAUGAUCCAGCUAAGCCCCAAGAUGCCGUCGAUCAAGGCAGCCGAGCUACCAUGGGUCUGUGUGAGCAGCUUGCCGGAGAGACGCAGGUUGAUGAUCCAGAUCUUGCUCAAGACCAACCUCGUGAUACCGCUCGCCGCCAUCGUCAUCUGCAACACCUUCGAGGGGAUCGAGUCAGAGGCGCUGGAUCUCGUCCCCAACAUGCUGCCCGUUGGCCUCCUCGAAGCGCCGGCGGCGUCGAGGUCCGCCGGCCAACUCUGGUCGGAGGACCCUGUCUGACUGCCCUGGCUCGACGCGCAGGCCCGCGGCUCCAUCAUCUACGUGGCGUUCGGGAGCUUCAUCGUCUUCGACGCGGCGCGGGUCCAGGACAGGGCCGGCCCUGAUGAGCUCACGGGUCGGCCUUUUCUUUGGGCGGUCCGGCCGAACAUCACCGCCGGAAUCAUAGAAGACUGGUUCGACGCGUUCAAGCGCCGCGUGGAUGGCAAGGGGGUGGUCCUGGGCUGGGCGCCACAGCAGCGCGUGCUCUCGCACCCCACUGUUGCCUGCUCCGUGUCGCACUGCGGGUGGAACUCGACCAUGGAAGGCAUGCUGCACGGUGUGCCGUUCCUGUGCUGGCCCUACUUCGCCGACCAGUUCGCCAACCAGAGCUAGAUAUGCAACGUGUGGGGCACAGGUGUCAAGAUCCACGCCGACGAGAAAGGGGUGUUCACCAAGGAGGAGGUCAAGGACAAGGUCGAGCUGCUGCUGGGUGACGAUGGGAUAAAGGCAAGGGCGGCUACGUGGAAGGACACGACGUGUACGAGCAUCGCAGAGGGAGGCUCGCCAGAUCAGAACCUGCUCAAGCUUGUGAAAUUUGUAACACAACAAUAG